RNAcentral lists this ribosomal RNA (2906 nucleotides) under Escherichia coli. RNAcentral describes it as "23S ribosomal RNA". It matches the Rfam family "Bacterial large subunit ribosomal RNA". RNAcentral also lists the same sequence under 1 other name. Lineage: Bacteria; Pseudomonadati; Pseudomonadota; Gammaproteobacteria; Enterobacterales; Enterobacteriaceae. The record is from RNAcentral.
GGUUAAGCGACUAAGCGUACACGGUGGAUGCCCUGGCAGUCAGAGGCGAUGAAGGACGUGCUAAUCUGCGAUAAGCGUCGGUAAGGUGAUAUGAACCGUUAUAACCGGCGAUUUCCGAAUGGGGAAACCCAGUGUGAUUCGUCACACUAUCAUUAACUGAAUCCAUAGGUUAAUGAGGCGAACCGGGGGAACUGAAACAUCUAAGUACCCCGAGGAAAAGAAAUCAACCGAGAUUCCCCCAGUAGCGGCGAGCGAACGGGGAGCAGCCCAGAGCCUGAAUCAGUGUGUGUGUUAGUGGAAGCGUCUGGAAAGGCGCGCGAUACAGGGUGACAGCCCCGUACACAAAAAUGCACAUGCUGUGAGCUCGAUGAGUAGGGCGGGACACGUGGUAUCCUGUCUGAAUAUGGGGGGACCAUCCUCCAAGGCUAAAUACUCCUGACUGACCGAUAGUGAACCAGUACCGUGAGGGAAAGGCGAAAAGAACCCCGGCGAGGGGAGUGAAAAAGAACCUGAAACCGUGUACGUACAAGCAGUGGGAGCACAGAGCAAUCUGUGUGACUGCGUACCUUUUGUAUAAUGGGUCAGCGACUUAUAUUCUGUAGCAAGGUUAACCGAAUAGGGGAGCCGAAGGGAAACCGAGUCUUAACUGGGCGUUAAGUUGCAGGGUAUAGACCCGAAACCCGGUGAUCUAGCCAUGGGCAGGUUGAAGGUUGGGUAACACUAACUGGAGGACCGAACCGACUAAUGUUGAAAAAUUAGCGGAUGACUUGUGGCUGGGGGUGAAAGGCCAAUCAAACCGGGAGAUAGCUGGUUCUCCCCGAAAGCUAUUUAGGUAGCGCCUCGUGAAUUCAUCUCCGGGGGUAGAGCACUGUUUCGGCAAGGGGGUCAUCCCGACUUACCAACCCGAUGCAAACUGCGAAUACCGGAGAAUGUUAUCACGGGAGACACACGGCGGGUGCUAACGUCCGUCGUGAAGAGGGAAACAACCCAGACCGCCAGCUAAGGUCCCAAAGUCAUGGUUAAGUGGGAAACGAUGUGGGAAGGCCCAGACAGCCAGGAUGUUGGCUUAGAAGCAGCCAUCAUUUAAAGAAAGCGUAAUAGCUCACUGGUCGAGUCGGCCUGCGCGGAAGAUGUAACGGGGCUAAACCAUGCACCGAAGCUGCGGCAGCGACGCUGAUGCGUUGUUGGGUAGGGGAGCGUUCUGUAAGCCUGCGAAGGUGUGCUGUGAGGCAUGCUGGAGGUAUCAGAAGUGCGAAUGCUGACAUAAGUAACGAUAAAGCGGGUGAAAAGCCCGCUCGCCGGAAGACCAAGGGUUCCUGUCCAACGUUAAUCGGGGCAGGGUGAGUCGACCCCUAAGGCGAGGCCGAAAGGCGUAGUCGAUGGGAAACAGGUUAAUAUUCCUGUACUUGGUGUUACUGCGAAGGGGGGACGGAGAAGGCUAUGUUGGCCGGGCGACGGUUGUCCCGGUUUAAGCGUGUAGGCUGGUUUUCCAGGCAAAUCCGGAAAAUCAAGGCUGAGGCGUGAUGACGAGGCACUACGGUGCUGAAGCAACAAAUGCCCUGCUUCCAGGAAAAGCCUCUAAGCAUCAGGUAACAUCAAAUCGUACCCCAAACCGACACAGGUGGUCAGGUAGAGAAUACCAAGGCGCUUGAGAGAACUCGGGUGAAGGAACUAGGCAAAAUGGUGCCGUAACUUCGGGAGAAGGCACGCUGAUAUGUAGGUGAAGUCCCUCGCGGAUGGAGCUGAAAUCAGUCGAAGAUACCAGCUGGCUGCAACUGUUUAUUAAAAACACAGCACUGUGCAAACACGAAAGUGGACGUAUACGGUGUGACGCCUGCCCGGUGCCGGAAGGUUAAUUGAUGGGGUCAGCGCAAGCGAAGCUCUUGAUCGAAGCCCCGGUAAACGGCGGCCGUAACUAUAACGGUCCUAAGGUAGCGAAAUUCCUUGUCGGGUAAGUUCCGACCUGCACGAAUGGCGUAAUGAUGGCCAGGCUGUCUCCACCCGAGACUCAGUGAAAUUGAACUCGCUGUGAAGAUGCAGUGUACCCGCGGCAAGACGGAAAGACCCCGUGAACCUUUACUAUAGCUUGACACUGAACAUUGAGCCUUGAUGUGUAGGAUAGGUGGGAGGCUUUGAAGUGUGGACGCCAGUCUGCAUGGAGCCGGCCUUGAAAUACCACCCUUUAAUGUUUGAUGUUCUAACGUUGACCCGUAAUCCGGGUUGCGGACAGUGUCUGGUGGGUAGUUUGACUGGGGCGGUCUCCUCCUAAAGAGUAACGGAGGAGCACGAAGGUUGGCUAAUCCUGGUCGGACAUCAGGAGGUUAGUGCAAUGGCAUAAGCCAGCUUGACUGCGAGCGUGACGGCGCGAGCAGGUGCGAAAGCAGGUCAUAGUGAUCCGGUGGUUCUGAAUGGAAGGGCCAUCGCUCAACGGAUAAAAGGUACUCCGGGGAUAACAGGCUGAUACCGCCCAAGAGUUCAUAUCGACGGCGGUGUUUGGCACCUCGAUGUCGGCUCAUCACAUCCUGGGGCUGAAGUAGGUCCCAAGGGUAUGGCUGUUCGCCAUUUAAAGUGGUACGCGAGCUGGGUUUAGAACGUCGUGAGACAGUUCGGUCCCUAUCUGCCGUGGGCGCUGGAGAACUGAGGGGGGCUGCUCCUAGUACGAGAGGACCGGAGUGGACGCAUCACUGGUGUUCGGGUUGUCAUGCCAAUGGCACUGCCCGGUAGCUAAAUGCGGAAGAGAUAAGUGCUGAAAGCAUCUAAGCACGAAACUUGCCCCGAGAUGAGUUCUCCCUGACUCCUUGAGAGUCCUGAAGGAACGUUGAAGACGACGACGUUGAUAGGCCGGGUGUGUAAGCGCAGCGAUGCGUUGAGCUAACCGGUACUAAUGAACCGUGAGGCUUAACCUU